RNAcentral lists this ribosomal RNA (777 nucleotides) under uncultured Neocallimastigales. RNAcentral's name for it is "partial large subunit ribosomal RNA". It matches the Rfam family "Eukaryotic large subunit ribosomal RNA", at positions 24 to 611 of the family's 3401-position model. Lineage: Eukaryota; Fungi; Neocallimastigomycota; Neocallimastigomycetes; Neocallimastigales. The record is from RNAcentral.
UAUCUCUGUAGAGUCUGCAUAUCAAUAAGCGGAGGAAAAGAAACUAACUAGGAUUCCCUUAGUAACGGCGAGUGAAGCGGGAAGAGCUCAAAUUUGAAAUCUUCAAGGUUUUACCUUGACGAAUUGUAGUUUAAAGAAGUGUUUUCUGUUGAGUUUCGGUAAAAGUUCUUUGGAAUAGGACAUCAUAGAGGGUGAGAAUCCCGUAUUUGACCAUUUAUUUCAGCUGUGUGAUACACUUUCAAAGAGUCGGAUUGUUUGGGAAUGCAGUCCAAAAUGGGUGGUAAAUUUCAUCUAAAGCUAAAUAUUGGCGAGAGACCGAUAGCGAACAAGUACCGUGAGGGAAAGAUGAAAAGAACUUUGAAAAGAGAGUUAAACAGUACGUGAAAUUGUCAAAAGGGAAGCGUUUGACACCAGUGUUGUUUUCUCGAAAAUCAAUUAAAAAUAAGCUUGAUUUUGUGUUGUAUUGACCUUAAAAGCUUUCUUCACUUUUUUCAUGUCUAUUUUUAAUGCACUUUUCGUUUAACAAGUCAACAUCAGUUUCUUUUGUUGUAAAAAGGUCAUUGGAAGGUGGCUUUCUUUUCGGAGAAAGUGUUUAUAGCCUUUGACUCCUGCAAUCGGAGAGACUGAGGUCUGCAGCGUAGAUCCUUCAUUGGAUUAGAUUCAUUUGUGCUAAGUUAUAGCUUUUUAUAGACAACUUGUUGACUAUAUUUAGUCUUGUAGCUUACUCGCUUAUGCAAUUUUACCUACGCUUAGGAUGUUGAACGCGCACAGAGUCUC